RNAcentral lists this ribosomal RNA (273 nucleotides) under uncultured prokaryote. Its description in RNAcentral is "partial 16S ribosomal RNA". It matches the Rfam family "Bacterial small subunit ribosomal RNA", at positions 524 to 796 of the family's 1533-position model. The record is from RNAcentral.
UACGUAGGAUCCAAGCGUUGUCCGGAUUUACUGGGUGUAAAGGGUGCGUAGGCGGACUCGUGCGUUAGGGGUUAAAUGCUUCGGCUCAACCGAAGAAAUGCCUUUAAUACGGCGAGUCUUGAGUGCGAGAGAGGAUAGUAGAAUUCCUGGUGUAGCGGUGAAAUGCGUAGAUAUCAGGAGGAAUACCAGUGGCGAAGGCGGCUAUCUGGCUCGUAACUGACGCUGAGGCACGAAAGCGUGGGGAGCAAACAGGAUUAGAAACCCGGGUAGUCC